Molecule: long non-coding RNA, 291 nt
Organism: Hippopotamus amphibius kiboko
Lineage: Eukaryota; Metazoa; Chordata; Mammalia; Artiodactyla; Hippopotamidae
Exons: 3
Source: RefSeq, a predicted model, not a curated record
CGAUCUUCGAUGCUACCACUAUUACUUGCUGAAGUAUUUUUAAACUAAGCUGCCCAGUCAAGAAGUUGGGGUUAGACUACUGACUGAUGAGAGGUCAUGUGGAGGAGAAAUGAGGGGCUCAGCCAACAGUCAAGCACCAAGGCCCCAAACACACUAAGGAACUAGAAGUUCAGAGAGGUUGCGACUUGCCUAAGGACCUAAAGCUAAAUUACUGCCAGAGAUGAAAUUCAAAUCCAUCCUCCGGGUUUCCCAAUACACCACAACGCCUCUCCUAUCAAGAAUAAAAAUUUC